Molecule: ribosomal RNA, 468 nt
Filed under: uncultured bacterium
Lineage: Bacteria
Description: partial 16S ribosomal RNA
Rfam family: Bacterial small subunit ribosomal RNA
Source: RNAcentral
GACGAACGCUGGCGGCGUGCUUAACACAUGCAAGUCGAACGGAAAGGCCCUGCUUUUGUGGGGUGCUCGAGUGGCGAACGGGUGAGUAACACGUGAGUAACCUGCCCUUGACUUUGGGAUAACUUCAGGAAACUGGGGCUAAUACCGGAUAGGAGCUCCUGCUGCAUGGUGGGGGUUGGAAAGUUUCGGCGGUUGGGGAUGGACUCGCGGCUUAUCAGCUUGUUGGUGGGGUAGUGGCUUACCAAGGCUUUGACGGGUAGCCGCCCUGAGAGGGUGACCGGCCACAUUGGGACUGGGAUACGGCCCAGACUCCUACGGGAGGCAGCAGUGGGGAAUAUUGCACAAUGGGCGGAAGCCUGAUGCAGCAACGCCGCGUGCGGGAUGACGGCCUUCGGGUUGUAAACCGCUUUCGCCUGUGACGAAGCGUGAGUGACGGUAAUGGGUAAAGAAGCACCGGCUAACUACGUG